Molecule: ribosomal RNA, 330 nt
Filed under: uncultured Lachnospiraceae bacterium
Lineage: Bacteria; Bacillati; Bacillota; Clostridia; Lachnospirales; Lachnospiraceae
Description: partial 16S ribosomal RNA
Source: RNAcentral
GGAGUCUGGGCCGUGUCUCAGUCCCAAUGUGGCCGUUCACCCUCUCAGGCCGGCUAUGGAUCGUCGCCUUGGUGAGCCGUUACCUCACCAACUAGCUAAUCAGACGCGGGUCCAUCUUAUACCGAAAAAACUUUUCACACUACAUCAUGCGAUGCUGUGCGCUUAUGCGGUAUUAGCAGUCGUUUCCAACUGUUGUCCCCCUGUACAAGGUAGGUUACCCACGCGUUACUCACCCGUCCGCCACUCAGUCAGUAAAUCGUCACCCCGAAGGGAUCGUAAUAAACUGCUUCGUUCGACUUGCAUGUGUUAAGCACGCCGCCAGCGUUCAUC